Molecule: transfer RNA, 73 nt
Filed under: Candidatus Pacearchaeota archaeon
Lineage: Archaea; Nanobdellati
Description: tRNA-Cys
Rfam family: tRNA
About the family: Transfer RNA (tRNA) molecules are approximately 80 nucleotides in length. Their secondary structure includes four short double-helical elements and three loops (D, anti-codon, and T loops). Further hydrogen bonds mediate the characteristic L-shaped molecular structure. tRNAs have two regions of fundamental functional importance: the anti-codon, which is responsible for specific mRNA codon recognition, and the 3' end, to which the tRNAs corresponding amino acid is attached (by aminoacyl-tRNA synthetases). tRNAs cope with the degeneracy of the genetic code in two manners: having more than one tRNA (with a specific anti-codon) for a particular amino acid; and 'wobble' base-pairing, i.e. permitting non-standard base-pairing at the 3rd anti-codon position.
Source: RNAcentral
GCGCGGAUGGCACAGUGGUUACUGCGGUCGGCUGCAGCCCGACUUCUCCCAGGUUCGAUUCCUGGUCCGCGCU